Molecule: ribosomal RNA, 261 nt
Filed under: uncultured bacterium
Lineage: Bacteria
Description: partial 16S ribosomal RNA
Rfam family: Bacterial small subunit ribosomal RNA
Source: RNAcentral
UAGUGAGUUUGAUCCUGGCUCAGGAUGAACGCUGGCGGUCUGCUUAACACAUGCAAGUCGAACGGAGACCUUCGGGUCUUAGUGGCGGACGGGUGAGUAACGCGUGAGAAUCUGCCCUCAGGAUGGGGACAACGACUGGAAACGGUCGCUAAUACCCGAUGUGCCGCAAGGUGAAAGAUUUAUCGUCUGAGGAAGAGCUCGCGUCUGAUUAGCUAGUUGGUGGGGUAAGAGCCUACCAAGGCGACGAUCAGUAGCUGGUCU